GAUGAACGCUGGCGGCGUGCUUAACACAUGCAAGUCGAACGGAAAGGCUCCUGCUUGCAGGGGUACUCGAGUGGCGAACGGGUGAGUAACACGUGGGUGAUCUGCCCUGCACUUCGGGAUAAGCCUGGGAAACUGGGUCUAAUACCGGAUAGGACGAUGGUUUGGAUGCCAUUGUGGAAAGUUUUUUCGGUGUGGGAUGAGCUCGCGGCCUAUCAGCUUGUUGGUGGGGUAAUGGCCUACCAAGGCGUCGACGGGUAGCCGGCCUGAGAGGGUGUACGGCCACACUGGGACUGAGAUGCGGCACAGACUCCUACGGGAGGCAGCAGUGGGGAAUAUAGCACAAUGGGCGGAAGCCUGAUGCAGCGACGCCGCGUGGGGGAUGACGGCCUUCGGGUUGUAAACUCCUUUCGCUAGGGACGAAGCGCAAGUGACGGUACCUGGAGAAGAAGCACCGGCUAACUACGUG
Molecule: ribosomal RNA, 466 nt
Filed under: uncultured bacterium
Lineage: Bacteria
Description: partial 16S ribosomal RNA
Rfam family: Bacterial small subunit ribosomal RNA
Source: RNAcentral